This 2888-nucleotide long non-coding RNA is filed under the name Homo sapiens (human). RNAcentral's name for it is "PREDICTED lncRNA (TCONS_00218556)". Lineage: Eukaryota; Metazoa; Chordata; Mammalia; Primates; Hominidae. The record is from RNAcentral.
CACAGACGGUCUUUACAAGCGACUCGUGGGCGUCAAUACUGGGCUGAGUUUGUGGCGCGCUUAGUGAUGGGAUGGCCCUGUGCAGGACGCCGACACGAAAAGAUGAAGAGUUCAAUCCGUGCUGUCUGAACUCACAGUGUAGCAGGCGAGAUAGACGGGAAGAUCGGUAGGGUGGGAGAUGCCGGAAAGGCUUCCCGUGAGACUGGAUAAGAAAUCAAAAAUCUGGUGAAAUUGCCGGCAAGAGGGAGUUAAGGACAUUCCAGGCAGAGGCAAGUUGGUCCUUGCUGGCUGAUCCAGCUUCCCCGUCAGCAUAUGGUGAGCAGUUCGGUGAGAGGACCACACUUCCAAUACUGGCAGAUGAAGCCAGAUACUCCUCUAUGAAGUUAAAUGACUGGUUCAGUGUUAACACUGCUAGUGAGCGACAGAGAUGGAAUUUGAACGCACACCUGUCUGACUCCACCUCGUGUUCCUUCCACAUGGCCAGCAAGCUCUGCUGUCCCACCUCGCACUUCUGGGAGGUGGCUACUCCCUCUUUCCACCCCCUUUUCUGGAUCUUGACAAGGGAUUCUACCCUGCCCCAGCUGUCAAAGCCUGCAGCAGCUGCCAAAAAACCUCAACACAGGCAUACUUUGGACCUACAUCAUGUGUUGAUGUCACAGAUGCUGUACCAGGCAUUUGACUCCUUGAUCUAAAGCCAGGAUUCCUAGCCAACAUGGCGAAACCCUGUCUCUACUAAAAAUAACAAAAAUUAGCUGGGCAUGGUGAUAGGCACCUGUAAUCCCAGCUACUUGGGAGGCUGAGGCAGGAGAAUUACUUGAACCCAGGAAGCGAAGGCUGCAGUGAGCAGAGAUUGUGCCUCUGCACUACAGCCUGGGCUAUGGAGUAAGACUCUGUCUCAAAAAAAAAAAAAAAAAAAAAAUAGUGAGGGGGAUGCAUGCCCACACAAAGGAAUCCUGAUAGAGGAACAAUGGCUUGGUCCGUUUCCCCUCCUGUGUAGCACUGUGAUAAAGGAAAGCCUUUCAGAUUCCUAAGAUGAGGACACAGCAUCCUGGGCCACUGUCACUAAUACAAAUUUGCCUCUGGAGGGACUCUACGGAAGAUAAUUCCCCUGAAAUUUGGAGAGUUGAAUUAAGCUAGGACUGAUUCUGGCUGGAAUUUGUGGUGGCUACGUACCCUAGAGGGCCUCAAGGAAACCCACGGUUCAAGACAGCCCUGACAGAUUCUGGAGUCUAGAACAGAAAUGGAUUUGAACAUGGGCAAGGCCAACCACCCAGUUCACGGCCUGUGUACAGCAAAGAUUACGUUACAGCCUGAGAGCUAAGCCUGGAAGCUCUUUCAUCCAUCCGUUUGUCCAUCUAUCCAUCCAUCUGCUCAUCCAUCCCUCCAUCUGCUCAACAAACGUUAGAGAAUCAAUCCUUGUGUCAGAUACUGGGGCUGCCCUCAAGGAGCUUUUAUAGAGUUCAGGGUACAGCCAGGUGGGGGAGACAGAUCACUAUAAAAACCUACCACUAUAAUCCAAAGGACAAGAGCAAAAAUAGUAAAGAGGAGAGAAGACCCAAAUUUGCCUGGUGGGUCAGAGAGGGCUUUCUAGAAGAGGUAAAAAAUCUUCGGGGCUAUCACUUCACCUUGCCUGGUGGAUAAAGGGAGGACUUUCCAGAUACAGUGGACAGAAUGUGCAGAGGCAGGAGCCAUGAGUGGCAGAGGCAGGGGAGGGACUGCAGAGACAGGUUGGAGCCAAAGCACGUGGCACUGGAGCCAUAGCCAAAGGAACAAACUGUGAGACCUGGGACUUGAAUUUGGAGGUGGUGAAAAGUGACAAGGUCUUCACAGAAGAGUGAUUUUUUCAACUUAGGGAAGGCUGACCCCAGACCAAUGCUGCCAAAGUGUGGUCUGUGGGCUGUUAGCAGUUCGUGACGAUGUAAGUACAGGAAUUGAGAUUAAGCAUUUAGAACACCUACAGCACUUUGAUAGUCAUUUUACUUUUUAAAUUUUGAGCUGGCAUUUUAUAUGCCUGGUUUUUUUUUGUUUUUGUUUUUUUAUUUUUUUUGAGACAGUCUCGCUCUGUCGCCCAGGCUGGAGUGCAGUGGCGCGAUCUCUGCUCACUGCAAGCUCCGCCUCCCGGGUUCACGCCAUUCUCCUGCCUCAUCCUCCCAAGUAGCUGGGACUGCAGGCGCCUGCCGCCUCGCCCAGCUAAUUUUUUGUAUUUUUAAUAGAGACGGGGUUUCACCAUGUUAGCCAGGAUGGUCUCAAUCUCCUGAUCUCGUGAUCUGCCCGCCUUGGCCUCCCAAAAUGCUGGGAUUACAGGUGUGAGCCACCACGCCCAGCCUUAUUCUCUUUUUCUAAUAGUUGCACUUUAUCAUAUUUUACAAAUGUGUGAGUCUGCUAUGGAUUAGAAAUUAAUAAGAGAUUUUGCCACAGAUAGUUUGAGAAGCCCAGCACUGCCACUCAACAAAUGCUGGUGCAUUCAGAUGGUGAAAUAUUCUGCAGCUAUUAAAGGAGUUAAAACUGCCUCCACUUACCUGGAGGCCCAUCUGUGACACCUUUUUAGGUUAAAAGGAAAAGAAAAACUUGCUUAGGACUGAAUAUGAGCGGUUGCAAUUUGUAACAAUGAUGUAUAUAUACAUAUACAUUUUCAUGUAUUUGUAUGAACAUAAAAGUAUUGAAGGAUAUUCAUCAAACUGCUAAAAGGGUUGCUUCAGAGUAACGGACUCGGAGAAGGCAGAUUAAUUUUCUCUUAAUGGAACUCUGUAUUGUAUCACUUGUAAAAAUAAGCAUGUGUUAUCUUUAUGAUAAAAAAGUAAAAACCUAAAAAAGAAAAUUUUGAUGUGUGUUAAAAUUUUGGAUUUCUAGGCUCCACCUUUUUUGAAUGAGUCUCUCCAAGAGUGGGG